This 119-nucleotide ribosomal RNA is filed under the name Seriola lalandi dorsalis. Lineage: Eukaryota; Metazoa; Chordata; Actinopteri; Carangiformes; Carangidae. The record is from RNAcentral.
GCUUACGGCCAUACCACCCUGAACACGCCCGAUCUCGUCCGAUCUCGGAAGCUAAGCAGGUUCGGGCCUGGUUAGUACUUGGAUGGGAGACCGCCUGGGAAUACCAGGUGCUGUAAGCC